This 1576-nucleotide long non-coding RNA is filed under the name Bemisia tabaci. RNAcentral's name for it is "lncRNA ENSSSA1UGG012308". Lineage: Eukaryota; Metazoa; Arthropoda; Insecta; Hemiptera; Aleyrodidae. The record is from RNAcentral.
AGGUUCUAGGUUUAUUUACAAAAAACUCUCAAAAGAAUGUCAUUUCGUUAGCUAAAUUUGUGAGGACCCUACACUCAAAAUUGUAAUAAUAAUGAUUUACAAUAUAAAAUUCCAGAGAUGAAACAAAAGAGAGCCGAAAUGCGACUCAGAGCGUGCACUUCUAGACUUUCCCGAAAUAAAUAAAUAAAUGACAAAAAGUAAAAUUAUUAGAAUAAGAACCGAAAUGCUAUUCACAGCGUGCACUUCAAGGUUUCACAGCUAGAACUCGCCAGGAGAUGAGAGAUAAGUGAGGAGGAGCAGAGCUGGGCGAAAUGCAACUCACAGCGUGCACUUCAAGCGCCAGAGGAAGAAAACAGAGGAAAAGUGAGUGUAUAGGAAGCAGGACGAAAUGCUACUCAGAGCGUGCACUUCGAGUCCCAAAGGUGAAGAGAGAGGAGAGAGCGGGGUGACCGACCCUCCGAGAAGGAGAGAGGUGACGAACAAUAUUUGGCUUAGAGGGCCAUCAAAUCGCUUCCAAGUUCUCGGAAUGCGAUCUUCACAUUUGUACUAAACAUUUUGAUACAUAGAAUUUAAAUUUUGAUCUGAUAUUUACAUAGCUUGGAAAAAUUUCGCCCAGGCAUUCAAACAUUUAAAAUUUGGAAAAAUACCUUUUUUCCCAGUAAAACGUACAAUUUUGGAAAGUUCAACAACAGGGAAUUUGUGUAUGUGUGUGUGAGCUAUGACGAGAGAGGAGAGGCAAUUUGUUUUUUUGAAUUUUCCUGUCCGGCAUCAGCUGAUCUCGCCGGGCGUCGUCGCGGCGCGGUGUCGCCAAGCCGUCACACAUUCGUCGCUAUUUUUGGUUUACACAAGAAGGGGAAAAACUUAAAACGGAGAAUGAAAUUCUUCGUUACACCCCGGACCCCCUCCUAACCUGGGGGGUAUUCCAUACCCCCCAGACCCCCCGGUGGUGGGGGGCCAGGCCCCCCCCAGCAAAAUGGCCUAGCUACGCCUAUGCGUCAUUCGGCGGCAUUUCCCAUUUAAACACAUGUAUUUUAGCAAAUUAGGUUAUUCUGUCAUAUUUCCUCGGUAAAUAUGUUCAAUUCAAAAACCAAGGAUAUCCUCGUGCUCAGUUUUCUCAGCAGUUUAAUUUUAAACAUGGAAUUUACAAAAUUUCAGAUACCUGCAAAUUUUCCAUUCGAGGUUCCCUGAUAUUUGUGCAUGGAUCAUGUGCAUACACUGGAAAAAGUCGCUUGGAUCUAGAGUCCAGACUCUUAAAAACAUUGACAAGAAAAAAUACUCUUGAUUCAAUGGGAUUUUAGCUUGAAUCCAAAGAAAAGCCGUUUAAAAAUCAAGAGGCUCGGCUCUUCGAUUCAAGAAAAAAUCUGAUCGAAUCAAGAGUAUUUUUUUUUGUCAAUGUCAUUGAGAGUCUGGAUGGUAGAUCCAAGCUACUUUUUUUCCAGUAUAGAGAAUAAUAAUUAUUGAACAGGCAAAAAAAAAUGACUCAAAAGUGAAGCGCUGGGUGCAGAAAAGGCAAUUCUUGGUUGCGGUGUUCUCCGCAAACGUUUCAUUUGUUAUGAUUAGGUAAAGCAGACGUAUG